UCAAGUCGGAUGUGAAAUCCCCGGGCUCAACCUGGGAACUGCAUUCGAAACUGGCAGGCUUGAGUCUUGUAGAGGGGGGUAGAAUUCCAGGUGUAGCGGUGAAAUGCGUAGAGAUCUGGAGGAAUACCGGUGGCGAAGGCGGCCCCCUGGACAAAGACUGACGCUCAGGUGCGAAAGCGUGGGGAGCAAACAGGAUUAGAUACCCUGGUAGUCCACGCCGUAAACGAUGUCUACUUGGAGGUUGUGCCCUUGAGGCGUGGCUUCCGGAGCUAACGCGUUAAGUAGACCGCCUGGGGAGUACGGCCGCAAGGUUAAAACUCAAAUGAAUUGACGGGGGCCCGCACAAGCGGUGGAGCAUGUGGUUUAAUUCGAUGCAACGCGAAGAACC
Molecule: ribosomal RNA, 388 nt
Filed under: Salmonella enterica
Lineage: Bacteria; Pseudomonadati; Pseudomonadota; Gammaproteobacteria; Enterobacterales; Enterobacteriaceae
Also listed under: 1 other name
Description: bacterial SSU rRNA
Rfam family: Bacterial small subunit ribosomal RNA
Source: RNAcentral